GAUGAACGCUGGCGGCGUGCUUAACACAUGCAAGUCGAACGAUUAAGACGGCUUCGGCCGUGUAUAGAGUGGCGAACGGGUGAGUAACACGUGACCAACCUGCCCCGCGCUCCGGGACAACCGCUGGAAACGGCGGCUAAUACCGGAUGCUCCGGGGAGGCCCCAUGGCCUCCCCGGGAAAGCCCUGACGGCGCGGGAUGGGGUCGCGGCCCAUUAGGUAGACGGCGGGGUAACGGCCCACCGUGCCCGCGAUGGGUAGCCGGACUGAGAGGUCGACCGGCCACAUUGGGACUGAGAUACGGCCCAGACUCCUACGGGAGGCAGCAGUGGGGAAUUUUGCGCAAUGGGGGCAACCCUGACGCAGCAACGCCGCGUGCGGGACGAAGGCCUUCGGGUUGUAAACCGCUUUCAGCAGGGAAGACAUAGACGGUAC
Molecule: ribosomal RNA, 433 nt
Filed under: uncultured bacterium
Lineage: Bacteria
Description: bacterial SSU rRNA
Rfam family: Bacterial small subunit ribosomal RNA
Source: RNAcentral